Molecule: microRNA precursor, 64 nt
Filed under: Panagrellus redivivus
Lineage: Eukaryota; Metazoa; Nematoda; Chromadorea; Rhabditida; Panagrolaimidae
Description: microRNA prd-mir-7887 precursor
Source: miRBase by way of RNAcentral
GGGGUGGAUAAGGAGACGAGUACCACGCUUGAUAGGUGUGGUACCCGUUCUCCGUCAUCCUUCC